GACGAACCGUGCGAACGUUAUUCGGAAUCAUUGGGCUUAAAGGGUGCGUAGGCGGGCUCGUGAGUCAGGGGUGAAAUCCCACGGCCCAACCGUGGAAGUGCCUCUGAUACCGCGGGCCUCGAGGGGGAGUAGGGGCGUGCGGAACUUCCGGUGGAGCGGUGAAAUGCGUAGAUAUCGGAAGGAACACCGGUGGCGAAAGCGGCGCGCUGGAUCCCUACUGACGCUGAGGCACGAAAGCCAGGGGAGCAAACGGG
RNAcentral lists this ribosomal RNA (254 nucleotides) under uncultured bacterium. Its description in RNAcentral is "partial 16S ribosomal RNA". It matches the Rfam family "Bacterial small subunit ribosomal RNA", at positions 524 to 776 of the family's 1533-position model. The record is from RNAcentral.